AAGAAAUUAGUUAAAUCAUAACAUUUGCUUGUCAUGCUUAAGUAGUCUUUUAGACAUUUCUUA
This 63-nucleotide transfer RNA is filed under the name Pachygrapsus crassipes. RNAcentral describes it as "tRNA-Asp". Lineage: Eukaryota; Metazoa; Arthropoda; Malacostraca; Decapoda; Grapsidae. The record is from RNAcentral.